This 312-nucleotide non-coding RNA is filed under the name Plasmodium falciparum Palo Alto/Uganda. RNAcentral describes it as "Eukaryotic large subunit ribosomal RNA". It matches the Rfam family "Eukaryotic large subunit ribosomal RNA", at positions 1 to 273 of the family's 3401-position model. Lineage: Eukaryota; Apicomplexa; Aconoidasida; Haemosporida; Plasmodiidae. The record is from Rfam by way of RNAcentral.
UGAUUUGAUGUUAGGAAGGCAAAUCCGCCGAAUUUAAGCAUAUAAUUAAGCGGAAGAAAAGAAAAUAACAAUGAUUUCUUUAGUAACGGCGAGUGAACAAGAAAAAGCUCAAGGAGAUAAUUCUAUAUCGUAGUUGUAAAAAGACUAUGUGUAUAGAAAUUGUUCUGUUAUAAGGAAGAAGUAAUCUGAGAAUAUAUGGGAUUUAUAUAUAUAUUUAGUUAUCGAAAUAAGUAGGAAUACUUUCCCAUAGAGGGUGAAAGGCCCGUAGUUAAUAAAUAUAUAAAGUUCUUUUUUUUUGGAUAAUUUUUUUUU